RNAcentral lists this microRNA (21 nucleotides) under Citrus sinensis (sweet orange). RNAcentral describes it as "csi-miR477c-3p". Its record names the gene csi-miR477c-3p. Lineage: Eukaryota; Viridiplantae; Streptophyta; Magnoliopsida; Sapindales; Rutaceae. The record is from miRBase by way of RNAcentral.
GAAGUCCUUGGGGUUGAGUGA